This 1372-nucleotide ribosomal RNA is filed under the name uncultured bacterium. RNAcentral's name for it is "bacterial SSU rRNA". It matches the Rfam family "Bacterial small subunit ribosomal RNA", at positions 28 to 1381 of the family's 1533-position model. The record is from RNAcentral.
GAUGAACGCUGGCUGCGUGCCUAAUACAUGCAAGUCGAGCGAACGGACGAGAAGCUUGCUUCUCUGAUGUUAGCGGCGGACGGGUGAGUAACACGUGGAUAACCUACCUAUAAGACUGGGAUAACUUCGGGAAACCGGAGCUAAUACCGGAUAAUAUUUUGAACCGCAUGGUUCAAAAGUGAAAGACGGUCUUGCUGUCACUUAUAGAUGGAUCCGCGCUGCAUUAGCUAGUUGGUAAGGUAACGGCUUACCAAGGCAACGAUGCAUAGCCGACCUGAGAGGGUGAUCGGCCACACUGGAACUGAGACACGGUCCAGACUCCUACGGGAGGCAGCAGUAGGGAAUCUUCCGCAAUGGGCGAAAGCCUGACGGAGCAACGCCGCGUGAGUGAUGAAGGUCUUCGGGUCGUAAAACUCUGUUAUUAGGGAAGAACAUAUGUGUAAGUAACUGUGCACAUCUUGACGGUACCUAAUCAGAAAGCCACGGCUAACUACGUGCCAGCAGCCGCGGUAAUACGUAGGUGGCAAGCGUUAUCCGGAAUUAUUGGGCGUAAAGCGCGCGUAGGCGGUUUUUUAAGUCUGAUGUGAAAGCCCACGGCUCAACCGUGGAGGGUCAUUGGAAACUGGAAAACUUGAGUGCAGAAGAGGAAAGUGGAAUUCCAUGUGUAGCGGUGAAAUGCGCAGAGAUAUGGAGGAACACCAGUGGCGAAGGCGACUUUCUGGUCUGUAACUGACGCUGAUGUGCGAAAGCGUGGGGAUCAAACAGGAUUAGAUACCCUGGUAGUCCACGCCGUAAACGAUGAGUGCUAAGUGUUAGGGGGUUUCCGCCCCUUAGUGCUGCAGCUAACGCAUUAAGCACUCCGCCUGGGGAGUACGACCGCAAGGUUGAAACUCAAAGGAAUUGACGGGGACCCGCACAAGCGGUGGAGCAUGUGGUUUAAUUCGAAGCAACGCGAAGAACCUUACCAAAUCUUGACAUCCUUUGACAACUCUAGAGAUAGAGCCUUCCCCUUCGGGGGACAAAGUGACAGGUGGUGCAUGGUUGUCGUCAGCUCGUGUCGUGAGAUGUUGGGUUAAGUCCCGCAACGAGCGCAACCCUUAAGCUUAGUUGCCAUCAUUAAGUUGGGCACUCUAAGUUGACUGCCGGUGACAAACCGGAGGAAGGUGGGGAUGACGUCAAAUCAUCAUGCCCCUUAUGAUUUGGGCUACACACGUGCUACAAUGGACAAUACAAAGGGCAGCGAAACCGCGAGGUCAAGCAAAUCCCAUAAAGUUGUUCUCAGUUCGGAUUGUAGUCUGCAACUCGACUACAUGAAGCUGGAAUCGCUAGUAAUCGUAGAUCAGCAUGCUACGGUGAAUACGUUCCCGGGUCU